RNAcentral lists this ribosomal RNA (310 nucleotides) under uncultured eukaryote. Its description in RNAcentral is "partial 18S ribosomal RNA". It matches the Rfam family "Eukaryotic small subunit ribosomal RNA", at positions 1470 to 1796 of the family's 1831-position model. The record is from RNAcentral.
CCCUUAGAUGUUCUGGGCUGCACGCGUACUACAAUGGAACUCGCAUCGAGUCGCGAAACUGAGAAGUUAAGCGAAUCUUGGAAUGUGUUCCGUGACCGGGACAGUUGAUUGCAAUUAUUCAACUCGAACGAGGAAUUCCUUGUAAUCGUGAUUCAUCAUAUCGCGAUGAAUACGUCCCUGCCCUUUGUACACACCGCCCGUCGCACCUACCGAUUGAAUGGUCCGGUGAAGCCUCCGGAUUGGCGCGCACCUCGGUGCCGCCGAGAAGUUGGCUAAACCUUACCAUUUAGAGGAAGGUGAAGUCGUAACA